RNAcentral lists this transfer RNA (66 nucleotides) under Hemitheconyx caudicinctus (African fat-tailed gecko). RNAcentral's name for it is "tRNA-Asp". The record is from RNAcentral. Lineage: Eukaryota; Metazoa; Chordata; Lepidosauria; Squamata; Eublepharidae.
GGGACUCUAGUAAAGAAUUUACAUAGCACUGUCAGUGCUAAGUCAUGGGUUUCCCCAUGAGGCCCA